Molecule: ribosomal RNA, 484 nt
Filed under: uncultured bacterium
Lineage: Bacteria
Description: partial 16S ribosomal RNA
Rfam family: Bacterial small subunit ribosomal RNA
Source: RNAcentral
AUUGAACGCUGGCGGCAGGCCUAACACAUGCAAGUCGAGCGGAUGAAGGGAGCUUGCUCCUGGAUUCAGCGGCGGACGGGUGAGUAAUGCCUAGGAAUCUGCCUGGGAGUGGGGGAUAACGUCCGGGAACGGGCGCUAAUACCGCAUACGUCCUGAGGGAGAAAGUGGGGGAUCUUCGGACCUCACGCUAUCAGAUGAGCCUAGGUCGGAUUAGCUAGUUGGUGGGGUAAAGGCCUACCAAGGCGACGAUCCGUAACUGGUCUGGGAGGAUGAUCAGUCACACUGGAACUGAGACACGGUCCAGACUCCUACGGGAGGCAGCAGUGGGGAAUAUUGGACAAUGGGCGAAAGCCUGAUCCAGCCAUGCCGCGUGUGUGAAGAAGGUCUUCGGAUUGUAAAGCACUUUUGGUUGGGAGGAAGGGCAGUAAGUUAAUACCUUGCUGUUUUGACGUUACCAACAGAAUAAGCACCGGCUAACUUCGUG